RNAcentral lists this ribosomal RNA (309 nucleotides) under uncultured eukaryote. Its description in RNAcentral is "partial 18S ribosomal RNA". It matches the Rfam family "Eukaryotic small subunit ribosomal RNA", at positions 1470 to 1796 of the family's 1831-position model. The record is from RNAcentral.
CCCCUAGAUGUUCUGGGCCGCACGCGCGCUACACUGAACAGUUCAACAAGUCUUAACCUUGGCCGAUAGGUCUGGGUAAUCUUUGAACGCUGUUCGUGAUUGGGAUAGACCUUUGCAAUUAUGGGUCUUCAACGAGGAAUUCCUAGUAAACGCAAGUCAUCAGCUUGCAUUGAUUACGUCCCUGCCCUUUGUACACACCGCCCGUCGCUACUACCGAUUGAAUGGUUUAGUGAGGCCUUCGGAUCCGCAACUCGUUUUGUGGAGAAGUUGGACAAACUCAGUCAUUUAGAGGAAGUAAAAGUCGUAACA